GACAGAGGCCUCAAGCGUUUAGGCGGAAUCACUGGGCGUAAAGGGUGCGUAGGCGGGUCUUUAAGUCAGGGGUGAAAUCCUGGAGCUCAACUCCAGAACUGCCUUUGAUACUGAAGAUCUUGAGUUCGGGAGAGGUGAGUGGAACUGCGAGUGUAGAGGUGAAAUUCGUAGAUAUUCGCAAGAACACCAGUGGCGAAGGCGGCUCACUGGCCCGAUACUGACGCUGAGGCACGAAAGCGUGGGGAGCAAACAGG
RNAcentral lists this ribosomal RNA (254 nucleotides) under uncultured bacterium. RNAcentral describes it as "partial 16S ribosomal RNA". It matches the Rfam family "Bacterial small subunit ribosomal RNA", at positions 524 to 776 of the family's 1533-position model. The record is from RNAcentral.